UGCCCCGUGGUGUAACUGGCAACACGUCGGAUUCUGGUUCCGAAGAGUCUAGGUUCGAUCCCUAGCGGGGCAA
RNAcentral lists this transfer RNA (73 nucleotides) under Gemmatimonadota bacterium. Its description in RNAcentral is "Gemmatimonadetes bacterium tRNA-Gln". It matches the Rfam family "tRNA". From Rfam's summary of the family: Transfer RNA (tRNA) molecules are approximately 80 nucleotides in length. Their secondary structure includes four short double-helical elements and three loops (D, anti-codon, and T loops). Further hydrogen bonds mediate the characteristic L-shaped molecular structure. tRNAs have two regions of fundamental functional importance: the anti-codon, which is responsible for specific mRNA codon recognition, and the 3' end, to which the tRNAs corresponding amino acid is attached (by aminoacyl-tRNA synthetases). tRNAs cope with the degeneracy of the genetic code in two manners: having more than one tRNA (with a specific anti-codon) for a particular amino acid; and 'wobble' base-pairing, i.e. permitting non-standard base-pairing at the 3rd anti-codon position. The record is from RNAcentral. RNAcentral also lists the same sequence under 1 other name. Lineage: Bacteria; Pseudomonadati; Gemmatimonadota.